AGCGAACGCUGGCGGCAGGCUUAACACAUGCAAGUCGAGCGCCGUAGCAAUACGGAGCGGCAGACGGGUGAGUAACACGUGGGAACGUACCUUUUGGUUCGGAACAACACAGGGAAACUUGUGCUAAUACAGGAUAAGCACUUACGGGGAAAGAUUUAUCGCCGAAAGAUCGGCCCGCGUCUGAUUAGCUAGUUGGUGAGGUAACGGCUCACCAAGGCGACGAUCAGUAGCUGGGCUGAGAGGAUGAUCAGCCACACUGGGACUGAGACACGGCCCAGACUCCUACGGGAGGCAGCAGUGGGGAAUAUUGGACAAUGGGCGCAAGCCUGAUCCAGCCAUGCCGCGUGAGUGAUGAAGGCCCUAGGGUUGUAAAGCUCUUUUGUGCGGGAAGAUAAUGACUGUACCGCAAGAAUAAGCCCCGGCUAACUUCGUGCCAGCCGCCGCCGUAA
RNAcentral lists this ribosomal RNA (449 nucleotides) under uncultured bacterium. RNAcentral describes it as "partial 16S ribosomal RNA". It matches the Rfam family "Bacterial small subunit ribosomal RNA", at positions 29 to 523 of the family's 1533-position model. The record is from RNAcentral.